This 2873-nucleotide ribosomal RNA is filed under the name Klebsiella pneumoniae CHS 40. RNAcentral's name for it is "bacterial LSU rRNA". It matches the Rfam family "Bacterial large subunit ribosomal RNA". Lineage: Bacteria; Pseudomonadati; Pseudomonadota; Gammaproteobacteria; Enterobacterales; Enterobacteriaceae. The record is from RNAcentral.
GCCCUGGCAGUCAGAGGCGAUGAAGGACGUGCUAAUCUGCGAAAAGCGUCGGUAAGGUGAUAUGAACCGUUAUAACCGGCGAUGUCCGAAUGGGGAAACCCAGUGCAAUUCGUUGCACUAUCGUUAACUGAAUACAUAGGUUAACGAGGCGAACCGGGGGAACUGAAACAUCUAAGUACCCCGAGGAAAAGAAAUCAACCGAGAUUCCCCCAGUAGCGGCGAGCGAACGGGGAGCAGCCCAGAGUCUGAAUCAGCUUGUGUGUUAGUGGAACGGUCUGGAAAGUCCGACGGUACAGGGUGAUAGUCCCGUACACCAAAAUGCACAGGCUGUGAACUCGAAGAGUAGGGCGGGACACGUGGUAUCCUGUCUGAAUAUGGGGGGACCAUCCUCCAAGGCUAAAUACUCCUGACUGACCGAUAGUGAACCAGUACCGUGAGGGAAAGGCGAAAAGAACCCCGGCGAGGGGAGUGAAAAAGAACCUGAAACCGUGUACGUACAAGCAGUGGGAGCACCUUCGGGUGUGACUGCGUACCUUUUGUAUAAUGGGUCAGCGACUUAUAUUCUGUAGCAAGGUUAACCGUAUAGGGGAGCCGCAGGGAAACCGAGUCUUAACUGGGCGUUAAGUUGCAGGGUAUAGACCCGAAACCCGGUGAUCUAGCCAUGGGCAGGUUGAAGGUUGGGUAACACUAACUGGAGGACCGAACCGACUAAUGUUGAAAAAUUAGCGGAUGACUUGUGGCUGGGGGUGAAAGGCCAAUCAAACCGGGAGAUAGCUGGUUCUCCCCGAAAGCUAUUUAGGUAGCGCCUCGUGAACUCAUCUUCGGGGGUAGAGCACUGUUUCGGCUAGGGGGUCAUCCCGACUUACCAACCCGAUGCAAACUACGAAUACCGAAGAAUGUUAUCACGGGAGACACACGGCGGGUGCUAACGUCCGUCGUGAAGAGGGAAACAACCCAGACCGCCAGCUAAGGUCCCAAAGUCAUGGUUAAGUGGGAAACGAUGUGGGAAGGCACAGACAGCCAGGAUGUUGGCUUAGAAGCAGCCAUCAUUUAAAGAAAGCGUAAUAGCUCACUGGUCGAGUCGGCCUGCGCGGAAGAUGUAACGGGGCUAAACCAUGCACCGAAGCUGCGGCAGCGACACUAUGUGUUGUUGGGUAGGGGAGCGUUCUGUAAGCCUGCGAAGGUGUGCUGUGAGGCAUGCUGGAGGUAUCAGAAGUGCGAAUGCUGACAUAAGUAACGAUAAAGCGGGUGAAAAGCCCGCUCGCCGGAAGACCAAGGGUUCCUGUCCAACGUUAAUCGGGGCAGGGUGAGUCGACCCCUAAGGCGAGGCCGAAAGGCGUAGUCGAUGGGAAACAGGUUAAUAUUCCUGUACUUGGUGUUACUGCGAAGGGGGGACGGAGAAGGCUAUGUUAGCCGGGCGACGGUUGUCCCGGUUUAAGCAUGUAGGCUGAUUGUCCAGGCAAAUCCGGAUAAUCAAGGCUGAGGUGUGAUGACGAGGCACUACGGUGCUGAAGUAACAAAUGCCCUGCUUCCAGGAAAAGCCUCUAAGCAUCAGGUAACAUUAAAUCGUACCCCAAACCGACACAGGUGGUCAGGUAGAGAAUACCAAGGCGCUUGAGAGAACUCGGGUGAAGGAACUAGGCAAAAUGGUGCCGUAACUUCGGGAGAAGGCACGCUGGUGUGUAGGUGAAGUCCCUGCGGAUGGAGCUGAGACCAGUCGAAGAUACCAGCUGGCUGCAACUGUUUAUUAAAAACACAGCACUGUGCAAACACGAAAGUGGACGUAUACGGUGUGACGCCUGCCCGGUGCCGGAAGGUUAAUUGAUGGGGUUAUCCGUAAGGAGAAGCUCUUGAUCGAAGCCCCGGUAAACGGCGGCCGUAACUAUAACGGUCCUAAGGUAGCGAAAUUCCUUGUCGGGUAAGUUCCGACCUGCACGAAUGGCGUAAUGAUGGCCAGGCUGUCUCCACCCGAGACUCAGUGAAAUUGAACUCGCUGUGAAGAUGCAGUGUACCCGCGGCAAGACGGAAAGACCCCGUGAACCUUUACUAUAGCUUGACACUGAACAUUGAGCCUUGAUGUGUAGGAUAGGUGGGAGGCUUUGAAGCGUGGACGCCAGUCUGCGUGGAGCCAACCUUGAAAUACCACCCUUUAAUGUUUGAUGUUCUAACGUUGGCCCCUUACCGGGGUUGCGGACAGUGUCUGGUGGGUAGUUUGACUGGGGCGGUCUCCUCCCAAAGCGUAACGGAGGAGCACGAAGGUUAGCUAAUCCUGGUCGGACAUCAGGAGGUUAGUGCAAUGGCAUAAGCUAGCUUGACUGCGAGCGUGACGGCGCGAGCAGGUGCGAAAGCAGGUCAUAGUGAUCCGGUGGUUCUGAAUGGAAGGGCCAUCGCUCAACGGAUAAAAGGUACUCCGGGGAUAACAGGCUGAUACCGCCCAAGAGUUCAUAUCGACGGCGGUGUUUGGCACCUCGAUGUCGGCUCAUCACAUCCUGGGGCUGAAGUAGGUCCCAAGGGUAUGGCUGUUCGCCAUUUAAAGUGGUACGCGAGCUGGGUUUAGAACGUCGUGAGACAGUUCGGUCCCUAUCUGCCGUGGGCGCUGGAGAAUUGAGGGGGGCUGCUCCUAGUACGAGAGGACCGGAGUGGACGCAUCACUGGUGUUCGGGUUGUCAUGCCAAUGGCACUGCCCGGUAGCUAAAUGCGGAAGAGAUAAGUGCUGAAAGCAUCUAAGCACGAAACUUGCCCCGAGAUGAGUUCUCCCUGAGACUUUAAGUCUCCUGAAGGAACGUUGAAGACGACGACGUUGAUAGGCCGGGUGUGUAAGCGCAGCGAUGCGUUGAGCUAACCGGUACUAAUGAACCGUGAGGCUUAACCUU